This 253-nucleotide ribosomal RNA is filed under the name uncultured bacterium. RNAcentral describes it as "partial 16S ribosomal RNA". It matches the Rfam family "Bacterial small subunit ribosomal RNA", at positions 524 to 776 of the family's 1533-position model. The record is from RNAcentral.
UACGAAGGGUGCAAGCGUUACUCGGAAUUACUGGGCGUAAAGCGUGCGUAGGUGGUUCGUUAAGUCUGUCGUGAAAGCCCCGGGCUCAACCUGGGAAUGGCAAUGGAAACUGGCGGGCUAGAGUGUGGCAGAGGGGGGUGGAAUUCCGCGUGUAGCAGUGAAAUGCGUAGAGAUGCGGAGGAACACCGAUGGCGAAGGCAGCCCCCUGGGCUAGCACUGACGCUCAGGCACGAAAGCGUGGGGAGCAAACAGG